GACGAACGCUGGCGGCGUGCUUAACACAUGCAAGUCGAACGGAAAGGCCCUGCUUUUGUGGGGUGCUCGAGUGGCGAACGGGUGAGUAACACGUGAGUAACCUGCCCUUGACUUUGGGAUAACUUCAGGAAACUGGGGCUAAUACCGGAUAGGAGCUCCUGCUGCAUGGUGGGGGUUGGAAAGUUUCGGCGGUUGGGGAUGGACUCGCGGCUUAUCAGCUUGUUGGUGGGGUAGUGGCUUACCAAGGCUUUGACGGGUAGCCGGCCUGAGAGGGUGACCGGCCACAUUGGGACUGAGAUACGGCCCAGACUCCUACGGGAGGCAGCAGUGGGGAAUAUUGCACAAUGGGCGGAAGCCUGAUGCAGCAACGCCGCGUGCGGGAUGACGGCCUUCGGGUUGUAAACCGCUUUCGCCUGUGACGAAGCGUGAGUGACAGUAAUGGGUAAAGAAGCACCGGCUAACUACGUGCCAGCAGCCGCGGUGAUACGUAGGGUGCGAGCGUUGUCCGGAUUUAUUGGGCGUAAAGGGCUCGUAGGUGGUUGAUCGCGUCGGAAGUGUAAUCUUGGGGCUUAACCCUGAGCGUGCUUUCGAUACGGGUUGACUUGAGGAAGGUAGGGGAGAAUGGAAUUCCUGGUGGAGCGGUGGAAUGCGCAGAUAUCAGGAGGAACACCAGUGGCGAAGGCGGUUCUCUGGGCCUUUCCUGACGCUGAGGAGCGAAAGCGUGGGGAGCGAACAGGCUUAGAUACCCUGGUAGUCCACGCUGUAAACGGUGGGUACUAGGUGUGGGGUCCAUUCCACGGGUUCCGUGCCGUAGCUAACGCUUUAAGUACCCCGCCUGGGGAGUACGGCCGCAAGGCUAAAACUCAAAGGAAUUGACGGGGCCCCGCACAAGCGGCGGAGCAUGCGGAUUAAUUCGAUGCAACGCGUAGAACCUUACCUGGGUUUGACAUGGAUCGGGAGUGCUCAGAGAUGGGUGUGCCUCUUUUGGGGUCGGUUCACAGGUGGUGCACGGCUGUCGUCAGCUCGUGUCGUGAGAUGUUGGGUUAAGUCCCGCAACGGGCGCAACCCUUGUUCACUGUUGCCAGCACGUUAUGGUGGGGACUCAGUGGAGACCGCCGGGGUCAACUCGGAGGAAGGUGGGGAUGACGUCAAGUCAUCAUGCCCCUUAUGUCCAGGGCUUCACGCAUGCUACAAUGGCUGGUACAGAGAGUGGCGAGCCUGUGAGGGUGAGCGAAUCUCGGAAAGCCGGUCUCAGUUCGGAUUGGGGUCUGCAACUCGACCUCAUGAAGUCGGAGUCGCUAGUAAUCGCAGAUCAGCAACGCUGCGGUGAAUACGUUCCCGGGGCU
This 1346-nucleotide ribosomal RNA is filed under the name uncultured bacterium. RNAcentral describes it as "partial 16S ribosomal RNA". It matches the Rfam family "Bacterial small subunit ribosomal RNA", at positions 28 to 1381 of the family's 1533-position model. The record is from RNAcentral.